Molecule: ribosomal RNA, 253 nt
Filed under: uncultured bacterium
Lineage: Bacteria
Description: partial 16S ribosomal RNA
Rfam family: Bacterial small subunit ribosomal RNA
Source: RNAcentral
UACGUAGGGUCCGAGCGUUGUCCGGAAUUAUUGGGCGUAAAGGGCUCGUAGGUGGCCAACUAAGUCAGACGUGAAAUCCCUCAGCUUAACUGGGGAACUGCGUCUGAUACUGGAUGGCUUGAGUUUGGGAGAGGGAUGCGGAAUUCCAGGUGUAGCGGUGAAAUGCGUAGAUAUCUGGAGGAACACCUGCGGCGAAGGCGGCCUUCUGGACGAUGACUGACGCUGAGACGCGAAAGCGUGGGGAGCAAACAGG